AAUGAACGCUGGCGGCAUGCCUAACACAUGCAAGUCGAACGAAGCCUUCGGGCUUAGUGGCGCACGGGUGCGUAACGCGUGGGAACCUGCCUUUAGGUUCGGAAUAACAGUUGGAAACGACUGCUAAUACCGGAUAAAGUCUUCGGACCAAAGAUUUAUCGCCUUUAGAUGGGCCCGCGUUGGAUUAGCUAGUUGGUGGGGUAAAAGCCUACCAAGGCGACGAUCCAUAGCUGGUCUGAGAGGAUGAUCAGCCACACUGGGCCUGAGACACGGCCCAG
RNAcentral lists this ribosomal RNA (278 nucleotides) under uncultured bacterium. RNAcentral's name for it is "partial 16S ribosomal RNA". It matches the Rfam family "Bacterial small subunit ribosomal RNA", at positions 29 to 334 of the family's 1533-position model. The record is from RNAcentral.